RNAcentral lists this unclassified non-coding RNA (432 nucleotides) under Hevea brasiliensis (rubber tree). The record is from RNAcentral. Lineage: Eukaryota; Viridiplantae; Streptophyta; Magnoliopsida; Malpighiales; Euphorbiaceae.
UGACUCUACUUUUGCAUUCACUUCCUUCUCCCUUCUUACAACAAGAGACCUGUCGGCCUGCAAAGAAUCUGUCAAUGAUUUGUAUCGCUCUGCCUCAGCAUGCCAAUGUUGGAGCUGNNNAAAUUGUACAGACGAGAUGAAUGUAUAUACUUGUCAUCCUUCAAUUCAUCCUGAAGUUUUUCCGAUUCUUUUGUUAAGAUGUGAUUUUCAUCUUGGGCUUCUUUAAACUCAGAAAGACGGUCAGCUACUAGUAUCUUUGCUUCCUCAAUAGAAUCCUUCAACUCUCUCAAACCUUUAGACUUCUCUGCAGGCUUUUCAGGUGUCAAGCUUCCAUUUACUGCACUUGAUGCUGGAGUAUGCACCCUAGCUGCUGCAUCCUUUUGCAUUUUCAGAUUGACCAACUUUCUUCUGCUUUCUUCAAGUUCAGCCAUG